RNAcentral lists this ribosomal RNA (492 nucleotides) under uncultured bacterium. Its description in RNAcentral is "partial 16S ribosomal RNA". It matches the Rfam family "Bacterial small subunit ribosomal RNA", at positions 29 to 507 of the family's 1533-position model. The record is from RNAcentral.
AGUGAACGCUGGCGGUAGGCCUAACACAUGCAAGUCGAACGGCAGCACAGUAAGAGCUUGCUCUUACGGGUGGCGAGUGGCGGACGGGUGAGGAAUACAUCGGAAUCUACUUUUUCGUGGGGGAUAACGUAGGGAAACUUACGCUAAUACCUCAUACGACCUACGGGUGAAAGCAGGGGAUCUUCGGACCUUUCGCGAUUGAAUGAGCCGAUGUCGGAUUAGCUAGUUGGCGGGGUAAAGGCCCACCAAGGCGACGAUCCGUAGCUGGUCUGAGAGGAUGAUCAGCCACACUGGAACUGAGACACGGUCCAGACUCCUACGGGAGGCAGCAGUGGGGAAUAUUGGACAAUGGGCGCAAGCCUGAUCCAGCCAUACCGCGUGGGUGAAGAAGGCCUUCGGGUCGUAAAGCCCUGUUGUUGGGAAAGAAAAGCAGCAGGUGAAUACCCCGCUGUUUUGACGGUACCCAAAGAAUAAGCACCGGCUAACUUCGUG